This is a transfer RNA of 73 nucleotides. It matches the Rfam family "tRNA". From Rfam's summary of the family: Transfer RNA (tRNA) molecules are approximately 80 nucleotides in length. Their secondary structure includes four short double-helical elements and three loops (D, anti-codon, and T loops). The record is from Rfam.
GAGAAAUUAGUUCAAUUGGCAGAACGUUUGUUUUACACACAAAAUGUUAAAGGUUCAAAUCCUUUAUUCCUCA